GCUGGGAUAGCUCAAUCAGACGAGCAUGAGAUUCUUAAUCUCAGGGUUGUGGGUUUGAGCUCCAUGUUGAUUCCUGCC
Non-coding RNA from Podarcis lilfordi (Lilford's wall lizard), 78 nucleotides. The record is from the annotation of a GenBank genome assembly. Lineage: Eukaryota; Metazoa; Chordata; Lepidosauria; Squamata; Lacertidae.